GGUAGUUUGUUGUAAAGGUAACAUACAAGUCUCAUCAUCUUGUGAUUUAGGUUCAAAUCCUAAGACUGCCU
This is a non-coding RNA of Tulasnella sp. 403, 71 nucleotides long. NCBI's taxonomy places the organism in Eukaryota, Fungi, Basidiomycota, Agaricomycetes, Cantharellales, Tulasnellaceae. The record is from the annotation of a GenBank genome assembly.